GAUGAACGCUGGCGGCGUGCCUAACACAUGCAAGUCGAGCGAUUCUCUUCGGAGAAGAGCGGCGGACGGGUGAGUAACGCGUGGGUAACCUGCCCUGUACACACGGAUAACAUACCGACAGUGAUGCUAAUACGAGAUAAUAUGCUUUUAUCGCAUGGUAGCAGUAUCAAAGCACCGGCGGUACAGGAUGGACCCGCGUUUGGUUAGCUAGUUGGUAAGGUAACGGCUUACCGAGGCGACGAUCAGUAGCCGCCCUGAGAGGGUGAUCGGCCCCAUUGGAACUGAGACACGGUCCAAACUCCUACGGGAGGCAGCAGUGGGGAAUAUUGCACAAUGGGCGAAAGCCUGAUGCAGCAACGCCGCGUGAGCGAUGAAGGCCUUCGGGUCGUAAAGCUCUGUCCUCAAGGAAGAUAAUGACGGUACUUGAGGAGGAAGCCCCGGCUAACUACGUGCCAGCCGCCGCCGUAA
Molecule: ribosomal RNA, 468 nt
Filed under: uncultured bacterium
Lineage: Bacteria
Description: partial 16S ribosomal RNA
Rfam family: Bacterial small subunit ribosomal RNA
Source: RNAcentral